This 396-nucleotide ribosomal RNA is filed under the name uncultured bacterium. Its description in RNAcentral is "partial 16S ribosomal RNA". It matches the Rfam family "Bacterial small subunit ribosomal RNA", at positions 523 to 918 of the family's 1533-position model. The record is from RNAcentral.
AUACAGAGGGUGCAAGCGUUAAUCGGAUUUACUGGGCGUAAAGCGCGCGUAGGUGGCUAAUUAAGUCAAAUGUGAAAUCCCCGAGCUUAACUUGGGAAUUGCAUUCGAUACUGGUUAGCUAGAGUAUGGGAGAGGAUGGUAGAAUUCCAGGUGUAGCGGUGAAAUGCGUAGAGAUCUGGAGGAAUACCGAUGGCGAAGGCAGCCAUUUGGCCUAAUACUGACACGGAGGUGCGAAAGCAUGGGGAGCAAACAGGAUUAGAUACCCUGGUAGUCCAUGCCGUAAACGAUGUCUACUAGCCGUUGGGGCCCUUGAGGCUUUAGUGGCGCAGCUAACGCGAUAAGUAGACCGCCUGGGGAGUACGGUCGCAAGACUAAAACUCAAAUGAAUUGACGGGG